UUCUCACUACUGCACUUGACUAGUC
Molecule: non-coding RNA, 25 nt
Filed under: Callithrix jacchus (white-tufted-ear marmoset)
Lineage: Eukaryota; Metazoa; Chordata; Mammalia; Primates; Cebidae
Also listed under: 4 other names
Source: RNAcentral